This 250-nucleotide ribosomal RNA is filed under the name uncultured prokaryote. RNAcentral's name for it is "partial 16S ribosomal RNA". It matches the Rfam family "Bacterial small subunit ribosomal RNA", at positions 524 to 773 of the family's 1533-position model. The record is from RNAcentral.
UACGUAUGGAGCAAGCGUUAUCCGGAUUUACUGGGGGUAAAGGGAGCGUAGUCGGCAUAGCAAGUCUGAAGUGAAAUCCCACGGCUCAACCGUGGAACUGCUUUGGAAACUGUUAAGCUGGAGUGCAGGAGAGGUAAGCGGAAUUCCUAGUGUAGCGGUGAAAUGCGUGGAUAUUAGGAGGAACACCAGAGGUGAAGGCGGCUUACUGGACUGUAACUGACGCUGAGGCUCGAAGGCGUGGGGAGCAAAC